CGGCGAUCGGAACUCUCGGAAAUCCCCCGUGCGAUUCGUAUUCGGAGAGGAUGUGGCAACGCGGGGGGUACCAGAAAGCCGGGGACUUGGAGUCCGGCACGCAGCCGCUCUACCCGAUGAUGUCGGAGAGCCCCGAGCUCCGGUGGGCUUUCAUUAGGAAGGUCUAUUCCAUAAUCGCCGUCCAGUUGGCGCUGACGGCGGCCGUCGCCGCCGUCGUCAUCGCCGUCCCGCCCAUCUCCCACUUCCUCGUC
Molecule: long non-coding RNA, 251 nt
Filed under: Musa acuminata (dwarf banana)
Lineage: Eukaryota; Viridiplantae; Streptophyta; Magnoliopsida; Zingiberales; Musaceae
Description: long non-coding RNA (MACU_LNC002103)
Source: RNAcentral